UCACGAAGACUACACUGUCUCCCCCCUAAAAUCAAUGAAACUAAUCUCCUCGUGAAGAAGCGAGGAUACAAAUAUAAGACGAGAAGACCCCAUGGAGCUUUAAACAAACCCCAACUGCUCCCUCCCUAAUCAUAGAAAUUGAGCAUUAAUGACGGGUAGUUUUCGGUUGGGGUGACCGCGGAGUAAAACAAAACCUCCACAAUGAAUGAAAUAAAAUACUAAUAAAAGAACCACAAUUCUAAUAAUCAAAAAAUUGACAUAUUUGACCCAAACACUUGAUCAAUGAACCAAGUUACCCUGGGGAUAACAGCGCAAUCCAUUUUAAGAGCCCCUAUCGACAAAUGGGUUUACGACCUCGAUGUUGGAUCAGGGUAUCCUAGUGGUGCAGCCGCUACUAACGGUUCGUUUGUUCAACGAUUAAAACCCUACGUGAUCUG
RNAcentral lists this ribosomal RNA (437 nucleotides) under Leptopelis flavomaculatus. RNAcentral's name for it is "partial large subunit ribosomal RNA". It matches the Rfam family "Bacterial large subunit ribosomal RNA", at positions 2002 to 2607 of the family's 2925-position model. Lineage: Eukaryota; Metazoa; Chordata; Amphibia; Anura; Arthroleptidae. The record is from RNAcentral.